This 1123-nucleotide long non-coding RNA is filed under the name Anolis carolinensis (green anole). Its description in RNAcentral is "lncRNA (ENSACAG00000037728.1)". The record is from RNAcentral. Lineage: Eukaryota; Metazoa; Chordata; Lepidosauria; Squamata; Anolidae.
AAUGGGAUUUUGGCCUUCAUCAAUAGAGGAAUAGCGUCUAGAUCCAGGGAAGUCAUGCUCCCCCUCUAUUCUGCCUUGGUCAGACCACACCUGGAAUACUGUGUCCAAUUUUGGGCAUCGCAGAUGAAGGGAGAUGUUGAUAAGCUGGAAAGCGUCCAGAGGAGGGCGACUAAAAUGAUUAAGGGUCUGGAGAACAAGCCCUAUGAAGAGAGGCUUAAAGAGCUGGGCAUGUUUAGCCUGCAGAAGAGAAGGCUGAGAGGAGACAUGAUAGCCAUGUACAAAUACCCUUAAGCAUGGGCUCUGUCUCUGUGAUCAUCGCAAUCUUUGAUGUAAACUUUGAUAUAAACAUCAUUCUUUAUCAGUGUGGGGUUUUUUUCCUGAAUUAGAAAAUUUUAUUGUGGACUUUCCAGGAAAAAUAUUUGCAUAUUGCUUUCUAUCACGAUUUCCAUAAUGCUGAUUAUCUUUAUUUAUAUAGUUACUCAAACUGAGUCGGUAAAUAAGGAUGUAGAAAAUCUUUCCAAAGUUUCAAGUUACAAAUUGCAAAUGUCUAGCAUGAAAUACCUGAGUUGUUGGUGAAAUAUCACAACUUUGUAUCUCUCAUGAAAUAUUCCUUCUCCUGCUUUAGAUGACUAGAUGAGUGCCAUGUAUUGAAGUACAUGGUGAUGCCUGACAAUUCUCCAAACCAUACAGCACAAUGCUGAUACCACCUUAUUGGUUUCAUUCCAGCCCCAUUUGGUCACAUUUGAAUGUCAGAAGACUGAAUUUGGAGACCAGGAUAACCAUGUAAAAGUUAGCCCUCUGCCUCCCAUGACCCCAAAUAUGUUAGAAGCAGGGGUUCUCAAACUUUUUCAGCUACAUAGCCCUUUUUGAAGCAAAGGUUUCUCAUGGAGCCCCAAGAAAUGUUUUAUAUUGUUGUAUAUAUUAUAUAUAAAGUAAGUAUAUAUAUCAGGAAUCAGCAAACUUUUUGACCAGCAUAAACUUUACAGUAUUUCAGUGGAAUUUUCUGCCAUGCAUGAAAAACACAAUCAAUGCACCCUCAACAGAUGAUCAUUCAGCCUUUGUAAUCAUAGUAAUAGUAAUAGGAUGAACCCCAGGGGCCAUCUAGUCCAACCCGUCUUCUACC